Non-coding RNA from Cinara cedri, 365 nucleotides. Lineage: Eukaryota; Metazoa; Arthropoda; Insecta; Hemiptera; Aphididae. The record is from the annotation of a GenBank genome assembly.
CACACCGAGAUAUUUUGUGUCUGCCAAGAUAAUAUGAGCCAAUCAGAAAAGAGUAUUUCACACGAAACGAAACGACACGGUGAGUUGAGGACUCCCCUUAAGAUAUUUAUCUUGGUUCGUGAUCGCUACCGAGGUUUAUCGAUAAUAUUAUCUAUAAACCUUGCACUGUCGCCACCACAAUAUGUAUUAGGACACUGGCAAAUAAUAUCGAUGUCCAUUUACUAAUUUACUAACCGAAACACUGAUUAGUACGCAGUACAAUAACACUUUUAACUACCUAAAGUAGAGAUGGAGUAAAAAUUCAUUGGGAGCCUAAUUCGGGAAAAAUCUCACGAAGAACGAAGGGUUGGUUUACGGUAUUGACC